UAGGGAGACCUAAACCCAAAACCUUGAGGAUGCAACUAAGCCCAAGGAAUUGAGGUCAACCUAGGUCGGUCGGAGACUCGUCGAAGCUUUCAAACGAUUAAGAGGUUAGGAAACCCAACAACUCAAAGAGAUAAUCGACUUGAGGAGUUGGGAAAAGAGACCAACCUUGAAAUGGGCUAUUAGCUCAGGUGGUUAGAGCGCACCCCUGAUAAGGGUGAGGUCCCUGGUUCAAGUCCAGGAUGGCCCACCUAAAACUUAGUGCUGCGUUUAGCAGUCAUUGAGAAAAUGGGGGUAUAGCUCAGUUGGUAGAGCGCCUGCUUUGCAAGCAGGAUGUCAGCGGUUCGAGUCCGCUUACCUCCAUGCUGGUCUCGCCCCAAAGAAAUCCUAAAGCCAAAAAGCAAAGGACAACUCAGCACCUGAGAGAGACUCAGACUGCUGGGGAAUCCCAGCCAGAACCUUGAAAACUGCAUAGUCAACCUAAAAAAAGUCAGGUGAAGUCGAGACCUCAAAAAGAU
This 515-nucleotide transfer RNA is filed under the name Sodalinema komarekii PMC 869.14. Its description in RNAcentral is "partial 16S-23S ribosomal RNA intergenic spacer". The stretch from base 288 to 360 matches the Rfam family "tRNA". The record is from RNAcentral. Lineage: Bacteria; Bacillati; Cyanobacteriota; Cyanophyceae; Oscillatoriales; Oscillatoriaceae.